GCCGCCGUAGCUCAGCCUGGAAGAGCGCUCUGGGGCGAAGCCCCGCGUACGGCUCAUAACCGGGUUGCCCCGGGUUCAAAUCCCGGCGGCGGCA
Pyrobaculum arsenaticum DSM 13514 is the source of this 94-nucleotide non-coding RNA. The record is from Rfam. NCBI's taxonomy places the organism in Archaea, Thermoproteati, Thermoproteota, Thermoprotei, Thermoproteales, Thermoproteaceae.